Molecule: non-coding RNA, 1129 nt
Organism: Sapajus apella (tufted capuchin)
Lineage: Eukaryota; Metazoa; Chordata; Mammalia; Primates; Cebidae
Source: the annotation of a RefSeq genome assembly
GGAUCCACUGAGUGGGCCACUGAUAGCACUGUCUGGGAGAGAGAGGGUUAAGGGAGACUGUCUUGGCUUCCUUUCUGCAUCAAGGAUAUUACUAGAUGAACCAGAGGUAGUGCUGGCACAGGAGGAGUUCAUCAUAGUUUUCUCAGGUCAACCGAUAUGCACGUGUAUUUGCCAUGGCAGGAAGCCCUCAACUGCAGACUUGUGUGGCCUCUCUAGGAGCCUACGUUUGAUGGGGAGUGUGAUGAGGGUUUCAGCAAGGCAGCUUGGAUAACCCAAGCCAGGUGGAGACAAAGGAGCAGCUGCCUCAGAUGAAACUCUCAGAAGCUGUGAGAAUGGCUGUCUGCCCGGAAGCCUGCCCUACCUCACUCAGUGCAGCCAACUCCCCUGCCUGCAGGAAACUGGACAGGAUGGGGGAAAACCUGAGUUAGCUGAGCUAGUCCUGGGGUACAGGGUGCCUAUGAGAGCCUACAGGGACGAUGACAUCAGAACAGUGACAUCACAGUAAAACCCUCCAAAAACGGUGGGGAGGAGCAAAAGUCCUGCUUUCUCACCCUAGGAGACCAGCACCCUGAGUAGGGAAAUGCCUAGUCCUGUCCUGCCUGACUCUACCAGGGACACCAGGCUCCUCUGCUGUGUCAUGCUUUGUCUCCUGGGAACAGGUUCAGUGGCUGCUGGAGUCAUCCAGCACCCAAGACACCUGAUCAAAGAAAAGAGGGAAACAGCCAAUCUGAAAUGCUAUCCUAUCCCUGGACAUGACACUGUGUACUGGUACCAGCAGGGUCCAGGUCAGGGCCUCCAGUUCCUCAUUUCAUAUUAUGAAAAGAUGCAAAGUGAUAAAGGAAGCAUCCCCGAUCGAUUCACAGCUCGACAGUUCAGUGACUAUCAUUCUGAACUGAACAUAAGCUCCUUGGAUCUGGGGGACUCAGCCCUGUACCUCUGUGCCAGCAGCUUAGGCACAGCCCUGCAGAGUUACUGGCUUUCUGUACCCAAACCUUCCUGUCUCAGCUGGGGAUGCAAAUAGGAAGAAGAAGGUAGGGGCUGCCACACAGCGUUAGCCAAGCCCCAGGGAUGCUUCUAGUUCUUUUCUAACAUUUUUCCCUGCCCUGCUGAGCUCAUGAGAGCUCCUGCA